GGUUGGCUGGGCUGCCCAAAGUAGUGCAAGACAGAGCCUAAAUCCAAGUGAUGGCUGCUACAGUGGGAUGAGUGCCUUUGGUGGAUGUUUAUUGCUGAAUGCCACGGUGUGAGUGUCCUGUACAGCCCCAGGGAAUGCACCUCACCUGUUUAAUUCUAGAUAGACAAUGAGCAGGGUCCACCUUGCUGCCCUCCUGGCUCAUAUAUACAAAAACACCACUGGUUAAACCACCAGCAGCCUAGCACAGGGCCUGACAGAGCAGAGAGCAGGUGCUGUUUAAGAAUAAUCUGUGUGUGUGUGUGUGUGUCCCAUUGAUGGGGAAGGUACUUUGGGGUGACAGAUGAAGCUGUAUUCUCAGCUCUGCAAGCAUCUCUUUGCCAGCCUCUCCUUCAUGGGCCGCUCCAAUUGUGGUGGAGGGCUGCUGUGAGCUCAAUUUCCACGCAGGAGUUUGCAGAAAUAUGUUUUAUUGCAGUUUCUUGAAGGUCAACAAACCCUAUUGAACACACCGGAAUGACAAAGCAAAUUUCCCAGAGAGCCACCAAGCAGGCACACUGGACUGGGAAGAUGAAAAGAACAGCAUAAGAAAACAGUGGAAAAAACAGAGAAGCAGUUUGAAUUUUCCCUGAGGGAUGACUUGGGAAGAGAAUCAUCACCGCCAUAAACCGGUUCAACAGGAAGGAAAGCUCCUGGCGGAAAAGUUACGCCUACUUGAUACUGAAAGCACAUAGGUCACCUGAAAAUGUCUGUGAGCAGGAAGGCACAGGAGGCUCUAUAUCCUUCUAAAAA
Long non-coding RNA from Poecile atricapillus (Black-capped chickadee), 786 nucleotides. RefSeq lists it as uncharacterized. Lineage: Eukaryota; Metazoa; Chordata; Aves; Passeriformes; Paridae. The transcript has 3 exons. The record is from RefSeq and is a predicted model, not a curated record.